This 497-nucleotide ribosomal RNA is filed under the name uncultured bacterium. RNAcentral's name for it is "partial 16S ribosomal RNA". It matches the Rfam family "Bacterial small subunit ribosomal RNA", at positions 28 to 507 of the family's 1533-position model. The record is from RNAcentral.
GAUGAACGCUGGCGGCGUGCCUAAUACAUGCAAGUCGAGCGAACAGACGAGGAGCUUGCUCCUCUGACGUUAGCGGCGGACGGGUGAGUAACACGUGGAUAACCUACCUAUAAGACUGGGAUAACUUCGGGAAACCGGAGCUAAUACCGGAUAAUAUCUUGAACCGCAUGGUUCAAUAGUGAAAGACGGUUUUGCUGUCACUUAUAGAUGGAUCCGCGCCGCAUUAGCUAGUUGGUAAGGUAACGGCUUACCAAGGCAACGAUGCGUAGCCGACCUGAGAGGGUGAUCGGCCACACUGGAACGGAGACACGGACCAGACUCCUACGGGAGGCAGCAGUAGGGAAUCUUCCGCAAUGGGCGAAAGCCUGACGGAGCAACGCCGCGUGAGAGAUGAAGGUCUUCGGAUCGUAAAACUCUGUUAUUAGGGAAGAACAAAUGUGUAAGUAACUAUGCACGUCUUGACGGUACCUAAUCAGAAAGCCACGGCUAACUACGUG